Molecule: ribosomal RNA, 488 nt
Filed under: uncultured bacterium
Lineage: Bacteria
Description: partial 16S ribosomal RNA
Rfam family: Bacterial small subunit ribosomal RNA
Source: RNAcentral
ACUCAAAGGAAUUGACGGGGGCCCGCACAAGCAGCGGAGCGUGUGGUUUAAUUCGAUGCAACGCGCAGAACCUUACCUGGGCUUGACAUGCAGGCAGUAGAACCCGGAAACGGGGACGACCUGUUGAGUCAGGAACUUGCACAGAUGCUGCAUGGCUGUCGUCAGCUCGUGCCGUGAGGUGUUGGGUUAAGUCCCGCAACGAGCGCAACCCUCGUCGCCAGUUACUUGUCUGGCGAGACCGCCGGGUACAACCCGGAGGAAGGUGGGGAUGACGUCAAGUCAGCACGGCUCUUACGUCCAGGGCUACACACACGCUACAAUGGUCGGGACAAUGGGCAGCGAAGGGGCGACCCGGAGCGAAUCCCAGCAAACCCGGCCUCAGUUAGGAUCGGAGGCUGCAACUCGCCUCCGUGAAUGCGGAGUUGCUAGUAACCGCAGGUCAGCACACUGCGGUGAAUACGUUCCCGGGCCUUGUACACACCGCCCGU